RNAcentral lists this long non-coding RNA (37248 nucleotides) under Medicago truncatula (barrel medic). RNAcentral describes it as "long non-coding RNA (MTRU_LNC002464)". Lineage: Eukaryota; Viridiplantae; Streptophyta; Magnoliopsida; Fabales; Fabaceae. The record is from RNAcentral.
ACCUAACCGACGAAGCAGACGGUGAUGAACCGUAUAGACUGACACGUGUCGGAGAGGUAGAGGCUCUGAAAAAGGAAGUAGAACGAGAAGUGAAGCUUGAGGUUGAAGAAGCAAAAGCGGUGGAAGAAGAAGAAGAAUAGUGAGAAGGUGAAUCUUGUGAAUUGCAGAAUCUAGGUGAAGGUGAAAGGGAUCUAAGUACAGUGUUAGUUCUUGAUUUUCUAGAAGCUGCCGCCAUUUUUAUUUUUUUUUCUUUGAAGAAGAAAAGAAAAAAAAGAAUGUUUUUCUAUUUUUCUUUCCCUAUAGGCUGGGUUUGAGUUUCUAGUUUGGCAAACCUAGCUUUACUCGAGCUAUGUAUAUAUAGGAUUUUUGAAUGUGUGUGUGGGUGCCAAGUGUGGGGUAUGACUCUUGCGAUAUUUUCUGCUUGGUGCAUUUACUUUGUGGAAUUAUAGUGCUGGCCCUUGUGUGGUUCUUCUUUUUAUUUGCUAGUUGUGGCUUUGGUGUUUUUUGUUAUGUAAUUUAACGCGCCUUAUUAAUUAAUUAAUUGGUUAAUCAAAUUUUGUAGGUUACAUUAGAUUUUGAGGAGUCUUGUAGAUAUACAUUUGAUGUAUUAAUGGAGUUAAUAAUUCUUCAUUUUUACAUUUAUGAUUAAAUUUUCGUCAUAAAUUUAUCUCAUAAAAAAACUACUUCAUUCAUCUCAAAUUAAUUUUCGUUUUAAGAUUAUGUGUGGUGCUUAAAAGAAUAAUUAGUUGGAUUGAUUUCCAUUCAAAUUAUUUUUAUUUACUAAAAUCCAUUUAUUAGUUAUAGUUACCAAUGAACUAGUUAAGUAUAGUGAACUUUAACAAAUAAGAGUGUAUUAAUGGUUAGUAUUUCAUUAAUAUUCUAAAGUGAUAAUCAUUUUGAGACAAAAAACAAUGUAAAAAUGUUAAUUAUUAUGAGACGGAUGGAGUAGAAUCUAACUCUGAAGAUGCGAUCAUAUCAAUAAUAAUAUAACGUUUUCCAUCAAAACUCCACAAGAUAAUGUGUUUGACGUGUAACUAAAUUUCAUAUUAAUAGUAGCAUUUUCCUUAAAAAAAGGCGAAGACAAAGCUCCUUGCAAAAAAGGCAAAGACAAAAAAAGGAAGAAUGGUUAUUUUUAUAAGAAAUAGUCUAUUUUUUAUAUUUAUUGAAUAACUAAUAUAUGUAAUUUAUGAAAUUAAUAUGUUUAAAAAAAUUAUGAUAUAAUUAUAUACAUUAAUUAUUAAAUAAAUCUAAAAAUAUAUUGUUUUUCGUAAAAAAGACCAAAAGUAUUAUUUUAUAACUUGUUCAUAAAAAAGUAUUACAUACAUAAUUUUUUCUAGUAAUCUUGUUAGUUACAAUUUGCUGUUGAAAAUGGCUAGAGCAGUUAAAAAAAAAAUGCUUUGAAAGCUGAAUGUACAUACAUUUGAAGCUAAAGUUCAAUGGUUUUUUGUACAUACAUUUGAAGCUAAAGUUCGAUGUUUUUUCUAACAGAGUUCAAUGUUUUGUUAAAAAACUGGAAAGGGGUGAAGAACUUCAGUCUAGAUUAUAUGGUAACAAUUACCUUAUGUUUCAAUUAAAUAUCUAUAUUAAAAUUAUUAUCAUCCUUUUUUUUUAAAGAAAGUCAAUAUCAUCCUAGUAAGAAUGGGCUGAUUAGGAAUCAAGUAGGAGUUAAUAAAAAAUAUCUCAAUUGGAAUUAACUGUAUAGAAUUUGUAAUAAUUAAAUGAAAAAGAAAAAGAAAGGAGAUGCAAGUUGUUGAUUACUGUAUUUAAAAGAUAAGAAUGGGUUGAUUGUGAAAUAACAAUUUUUUUCAGAACAGAAACUAAUUAUUCGGAAUUUUGUAAUAAUGAAAAAGAUAAAGAAAAGAAAUGCAAGUUUUAUUAUGAAGGAAAAAGAAAUGCAAGUUGUUGAGUACUGUAUUUAAAAGAUAAGACUGGGACCAGUCAGAUAAAAAAAGACAGGACUAGAAACAAAUAUAAAAUGUCAUAAAGGUAGGGACGCAAAAGCAAAUAUGAAAUUCUGGUAUAUAGAUUGCAAAAGUAUUGGGUGGGCACAACAGAAAUAGAGUCUUUAACCAAAGAUAAAAUAAGGUUGGGUUAGUUAGUUAACCUGAAAGGAGGACGUUGAGCCCUCUGAAUUGUGAUCCAACGGCUUUCAGUUCCACAAAGCUGUGUGCUGCCCAUAAUAUUAGAAAACGACAAAAUCAGAUACAACCGUUUUAAAUCCAUUGAACUUUGUUUACAGAUUUCCUCAUUUUCCUCUAUCUGCUAGACUGCCACCUAUUAUUAGUACAAACAUUACUUAAGGAGUAGUUAAUUAAUUAUUUUCUGAAACUUAAUAGCUAAUCUACUGUCACUUUUACAUGACCAAAUUAACCUUAAUUCCUCCCUAAAAUUUCUUGUAUAUUUCCAUAAAGUUAUAUCAAGAUUAUUGUUGGAUAUGUCUAUAAAGCGUAGUUGAAUUUAUAAUAUAUCGAUGGUGUUAGAUUGAACACAACAUUUUUAUUUGUUUUAAAUUGAGACUUCGUUAUUUUGUGUUUGAGUUUUAAAUGAUAUUUAUUAUAUCGUAUACAAAAAAAAUAUUGUGGGAUAUAUAAAUUACUUCCAUCAUCUCUUAUUAUAUAUGAUCUCUCAACAAAGUUCACGAGUAUUAAAAAAUUAUUUUUUGACAAGAGUAUUAAAAAAUUAUAUUACUGAAUUUGUUAAAAAUGUCUUUUAUUUUACAUAGCCAUCCAUAUAAUUAUUGAUAUUUGAUAUCAUAAGAGAGAAUGAUAAUUUAUGUUUUUUUAAAUAUGAAUAUUUUUUUAUCUACAAGUCCUAAUUUGAACUUUAACUUAUCCACUUAUGUUCGUGAUUUUUUGAUUGCUAUUGUCGUUUUUGUAUACCCAAAAAAAGGAUGUGUUUGUCAAGAAGAUGAAUUUGAUUGGUUGAAGGUUUGGAAUACACAAUAUAUAAGCUCUUAUAUUCGAGACCCAUAACCAACUAGAUUCUUUUCAACCUUAGAUCCUCCCUAUUUAUUAACGCAUCAACGACUAGUAAUGUUCGUUGGAACCAGAACAUUGAUGAGCGUUGUCCGUAAUGGACUCUUCAUCACUCUCCAACGGCUCCAUUUCCUAACCUAUAAAAAUCACCUUUCACUACGAUUCAAGGUACACACUUUUCUCUCUCGAUACCUCUAAGUUUUUGCUCUCAUAUUGACUUGAACAUCAAAAUAUUUGCAAAUAUCAUCCUUCAACAUCCAUCUCGACGAAAGUUGUUCAAUCUUGACCAAUUCAUCUCAAUUGUGUAAGAUCAUAAAUUAUUAAUACAUGUGGAAUUUUGAAAAUGAUUUUGUUAAUUUCAUUUUUUCCCAAAGCUCUUCAUUCUUUUCUUUUGUUAAUUCCUUUUUUUUUUCCAAAGCCUCAUCUAACUUCUCAUUCAAACUCACAAACAAAUCCUAAAACAAUUUAAAUGAUGGAAUAUGAAAUUAAGACAUGCUAAAAUUAUAUAUUAUGUAUCUUUAUUAAAUGAUGUACUUUUUAAGAAAAAAUAGAGUGCAAAAAACAUCACAUGAUAGCAAUGUCAUUUCAUAACACCUUUAAAAAAUACAAUGUCAUUUUAAAUAUAUUGGCACCCAAAACUACCACAUAUAAUUUGCAACGACCUAAUAAAUACAUUAAACAUAUGAAUUUACAACGACCUAAUGAAAAUAGAAAGUAGACAAAUACAUCUUAAGGGAACUAGACCAAAACAAAGGAAAUAAACAUAUGAAUUUACAACAAACAACCGUCUCAUUAAAAAUCUUUACCUAAAAAAUUAAGUGGGAUAAAAUUGGAAGCAUCUCAACAUGAGGAGUGGAGAGAAUCUUCAACUAAUUGUGGAGGGAGGAACCCAUCAUAAAAUCAACACUUUAAUCACCCUCGAAAUAUCUCACUUUUGUUUGAGUAAGCGUCAAAAUUAAAGCAUUGGUUAUAUUGGUUUCUAUAGAUUUAUUGACUUAAUGAAGCAAUGAGAAAACACAUGAUGAUUUACACGUGAUUAAUUUGGCACCAUAAUCCUACGUCGAUUAUGAAGAUGCUUUAGAACGUAAUAUUCACUUUCACAAAUAAAAUCAAUUACAUAUUAAUAUUAGGAAGACAUUCAAAUUAUGUAUACUCUACAAACUGAAGUUCACCCGUUCAAGGGUAAUUAACAAUUGAGUCUCACACUACUAUUCUUAUCUUGCUAUUGGAUUGAGAUACGAUGUAACUUUACAAUACUAUUCUUUCCUUUCAAAUUAUUUCAAUUUUACACAUAAAUAAAAGUGUGCACUAAAUUUUUAAGUCAUUAUAUUUCACUAUUAAUUUAUGACAAUUGUUGGUAACCAAUAUAUAUGUUGAGUCACGAAGGAAGUUCGGGGGACCGUCCACAUUGAGGUUAGAAAAACCACAUUUGUGAGAGAGACACCACACUCAUACCUAAAACCUUAAGGUAAUGGAUUUAUAAGUCCUUUUACUUAUAAUGUGUUCAACCUUUACUCUUUUAUCCGAGGUGGAAUAUAUAUAUAAUGGAGACUUAUUAUUAGCAAAAAUAAAAUAAAAUGAUGAUGACAAUUUUGUAAACUUGUUAUACAUCUUCAUUAUUAUUUUUGUUUAAUCUAUAUGAAACAUCCUUUUAAAACGAAGGUAUUACCAUUCAUAAAAAGGGAGAGUAGCUUACAUUUGUGAAUGUUAUGUAGUUGGUAUUAAUUAUCUAGGAUUUUCAUGAAACUUCACCUUAUGAAAUAUCUUCAAAAUUCUAGUAAUCGAUUUCCCAACACAAAAUAUUAGGCCCCACGACACGAUUGGCAAAGGCAAACCUCCUCCACUAUGAAAGGGUUUGAUAAAUUAAGUCGACACACAUGGGUUGUGGGUAGCUCUUAUUUAAUGAAAAGCAUAUUGGAGUCGGUCAAGGAAAAGAAAGGACCAAAAUAAUCAAACCUUACCUUAGCUGCAUGAUAUGAUACGAUACCGAAAGUGUUGUGCUCUCCAUUCAUUUUCUUUUGGAAGAUUCUCAAUGAAAGAAAAAAGGAACUACAAAACAAGAACGACACGUAGUGUCCACGGAAGUGUGAUUGUUGUGAAAUUGAGAAAUUGGUAGCUACUAUUGACUAUUAAGCCAAAUAUUAUUCCUUUGGAUUGCUAUAGGCCUUUGCCGGUCACUAAUGACCCAAUUAUUUAAUUAAAGUACUUUUUAAACUCAAUUAAUUAAAGUACUUAGACUUAUACGAUAGUGUGACAUGAAUAUAUGUCCUUUUUAUUUAGACCAUGUUGUGUUCAAAUUAACUCCAAAUAUACAAAGGAGCAGCCUUUGUACUCCAUGUUAGCAAAUCCUUAUAAAUUUGUACUAGCCUUCAAACCUAAAAACGUGUUUUACAUGGUUAAUAUUUGGGGAUUAUGUUAGAAAGGAUCUCUAUAUAAUAUUUUCAAUCAUCAAUAUGGAAUAUUAAAUUUUAAAAGUAACAUUGAUCAAUAUAGCGUGACAUAAGUUAUAAAUAUUUGAACCUUUAACUAUUUGGUCAAGAGUUUGAUUUCUAAUUAGUAUGUAUGAAAAACAUUUGUCCCAAGAGGUCAAACCUUAAACAAUCUUUUGGUGUAAAAAGAAGUAGCAUGGAGUACAAGGCUGCCCCUUUGUAUCUUUGGAAUUCAUUCGUGAACACAACAUGGUAUAAAUAAAAUGGCAUCUAUACUUUAUCUUUUUUAGGGGAAAAUGAAAUAUAUUCAUGUCACACUAUCGUGUGUAAACUAAAAAAUAUAUCUUCAGUAAGUGUGUAUAUAUAUAUAUAUCAUAUCAUAUCAUACUUUCAUGUCAUCCUUAUUGGUUCACUCAAUUUUUUGACUAAUUUAAUAAAUGAAAUUGAUUUCUUAUUAGGAUAUACAUAAGUGCUUGAGUUUUAGAUAGAACCACGAGCAAUUGGAUAGUAGAAUCUCAAAUAAAACAAAAAUGAAUGUUGAUCCUAAUCAAUCUAGCUUGAAGUAGCGUGAAGUCAACGAUUAGCUGAAUAACCAGUUAUUAUGUUGACAUAUACGGCACGCAUUGUUGCAUAGUGGUGUGCGUCUUCGAAUUCUUCUUGUUCUAAUCUCUUAUAUGAGGUUUUGUUUAAGAAUUUAGAGAAGAAUUAUUAAGAAUAAACAAAAAAUUCUAGUAAGUCUUCUUAUUUUCUCUCUUUCAAAUUCACACUUUUGAUUGAGAUGUCUCAAUUAAACUCAGAUAGCCGUUGCUUGAAAGGUGUACACAAAAAAUUGGAGUUUGUGAUGCCGUCCAUGCAGAAGUAAGUGGAAUGUAUUAGAAUGCAAAUUGCGAGAAAAUAAGAGAGUUUACCUAAUUGAUAUUGUAACAUGAAGUUGUAAGCUUAACAUAAACACUGCUGCCUUGGUUCUUUGAUUCCAUGAUCUUUCCAACUUACGGUUAAGCACAUCUGAUGGGAAAGAAAUAAAUCACUGAUUGAUUAACUUAUUUUACUCGAUAUAAUCGAGGCUUUCAUGAUUAAAAAUAUUAGUGUAGUCCUAGAUUUUUUUCGUUUUUUAGACUUGCCCAAAAUUAAUUAUUUUGGUCUUAAUUUAUUGGUAGGAAAGGUAAUUACUUUUUUUUAUUAACGAACUAAUCCGCUAGCUUGUCUUAAAAGUGUAUGAAUUUGUCUUUUCUAGUUUUGAAUAGUGUCCUCCUAGGCGAUUUAAUAUUUGUUCGUAAGAUGAACAAUAUGAUAGAUAGAGUUAGUUGAUAUCUAUCAAAGACUUUCUUGAUAGGGGUGGGAGGUUGAACUCCAAAUUUCUUAAUUUUUUAUAUUUAAAUUGUGUCAAUUUAACCACUAGACUAUUUAGAAGAAAAAAAAAAAACAUUUUUUAUGUGAUAUUUUGGUAUAUGCGUCCUUAUACCUGAAUUAAGUUGACUAUAAACAUAAGGGAAAUGAUAUUUGUACAACCAUUGUUUAGACAACAUUUAAGACAAUAUUUUCUCUCUCUUCUUUUAGGAUAUAAGCAAUAGAAAAAGAGAAAGAGGAAGAGAAGGAGAGUAAUAACGCAAUAUAAAUAUGAGAGAUGUCACAAAAUAAUUGUAUAAAAAUUACUCCUAUUUCUCUAAACAUAACUAAUGAAAUUUAUAUAGCAGUCAUUCAAAUGUUGGUCCUAGCUAGUAGAACUAAACUCAUAUCACUUUCAAGUAAGAUCUUGAAUUUGAGUACUAUGGAUUAAAAAAAAUACAUAGUUUGGAAAGGUGGUCCGACAUGUUUUGUGACAAAUAUCAGCAUCUCAAUGUUGGUAAAUACUUGGUUUCAAUACAAUGGUUAAAAAUUAACAUGGAUUGGAUAAUUACAAGGAAUUCUUUGCCUAACAACAGUGUCUUUUUCCGUUCUUGUGCACAGUCAAUGAAUAUUACAAAAAUGAACUUAAGAAUUAAGAUAUAGAGGGCCAGAGGGGACAUGUUCUUUCUCAUACCUUAGUUCUGUUUUGUGAAGAUGACAACAACAUUUUACGGAUCACAAUCCUAUUGAGUUAUUAGAAUUGGGGUGCACUUAACUCGACUAUUACAAAACUGGUUAGUAAAGCAAAAAUUAUACCUAUUUUUAAAUUUAUGUUUAUGACAUAUUUCAUCCAAUGUUAGACUCUUAACGCAAGCGGUUCAUAUUCAAAGUUUAAUAUAUCUUAAUUGAACCGUAAUUUAAGUGAUCAGAUAGUAGUAAUAUGAUAACAAAGGCGGUGGCUAUCCACCACUUAUGGACUAAACAUCUCAAACGUUGUAUGAUUGGUUCGAUAAUCGUGAAUUAAACGGAUUUUGAAUAAAGCUCGAUAUUGAACCUAUCUCAACUUUUACAAAAACCUACAUGUAAAAUGAGAAUUCUUCUUUGCUUCCAUACUCUUAUUUUCAUGUCCUAUCUUAUUCAAUGUGUUUCUCUUAACUGUUAUAUAAAACAUCUUACUUUUCUUCUCAAUGAAACAGAAUAAAAAAGAUUUAAAGCUAUAUGAGUUGGACAGAAAAUCCAUGUGACUGUAUUCCCUAUUGUUUGCCUAAGUAAGUAAGUAAUUCGGUCAUUAUUCCUAGGUACUCUGAAUUUCUUCUUCCUCACAUGUUUUGUCCAUCUUUCGAUACCAAACAAACCACUAAAUAAAAUCUCAAUCAUUAACCAAAUCAAAACAAUACCAUGGAUCUACCACACGAUUCACAUAAUUAUAUGUCUUUUCUUGCCACGAUCAAUAUUCUCUGGUGUAGCUAAACAAUGAUUUAAACCGACAGACAAUUUUUAUUUUAAUAUACUCCCACCACGUGGGAGCUUCCCAUGCCAUAUCAGGGAACAUUGUAGACAUAUUGUUUGUUUAAAGAAUCAAUAAUUCAUUGUUGGAUGCAAAAUGUCUAACCAUUUCGAAUACUAUAUGUUGGUAAAUUUCAAUUCAUGUUCAGUUUUUUAUUAAUUAACAAACUUAAUCAACGUGAAAGCAUUCAUGUUGUCUGAUUUAGUAUUAUUCGAUCAGUUGUCACAUGAACAAAUAAUUACUAACCAUUCUUUCAUUCUCUUUUGGCACUUUUUUUUUUUUCUUUCUAAAACUUUAUUUUGCCUAUCAAGUGGAAGCAAUGGCAAUGAAUGCAUGUAAUAAUUAGCUAGAAAUUGAAAGUGCAAUGCAUUCGUUUUCAACGAAACGUAUUAAAGUGGUUAUAUAGCAUUUCAUUUUGAAGAAAAAUAAGAAAGUAGGUGCUAGUAUUCUUUUCGCAUAAAGCAAAAAUACAUAAUUUAUGUGGCAAUGAACCAUGUCACUUGUAUGCGUAUGAACACAAGCAGAGGGAAUAAUAGGCCACUUCCCAAUCAAUGAUCAACUGUUUUUUUUUAAGAAAAUCAAUCAUCAACUGAUGGACGGCAAAGACUUUUAAUUAUUUCAAAUUCAGUUUUGGAAUUUUCCUCCACUGCAUUUAUUUAUGGUCUUGAGUUGCAACGAUGAACUGGCAUCAUCUACCAACUUUGCAUAAUUUGAGGGAAAAUCUCAGCAGAUUUUGUAGAGAAAUAUCCUUGUAUUUUGACAACUUAUUCAAUUUGAAUUGUAAAUCAUGUGUAUGAGACAAUUAUUUGUUCUGGAGCCACUCUAAGAUGGCUGGGGUGCGAACUAAAAAAAUAUAACUUUAUUUCAUCCAUUAAAUAUAUGCUCCUUUAUUUGUCCAUUAUAUAUACAUGACUGUUAAUUUACACCAACCUAAAAUCACUAUAUGUUAAUCUUGUUCACCGAUAAAAUGCCAACAUUAUGUUUUAUUUUUGUUCAAGUUGUGUAUGCCAUACAUAUUAAUUCAGUAUGAUAUUCUUCCAAAUUUACUUGUUUUGAUUUACAUUUUUUUUUUUUUUUUGCAUUUAGUUGUUUAGUUUUUAUUCUAAUACAUAGUUUGUUUUUUCAUUAUAUUAUUCAAGGUCAUAUUUGAAUACCUAUGACCUUUUACCAAUAAUAUCAUAAUACAUAUACCUAGUUUUCUAUGGCAGAAGGAUGAUUUUGGAUUUUAAUUUCCUGUAUGAUUUAGGAGUUGAAAAAACAUAUAUAUAUUUUUUUAACAAUCAAAAAUGGAACUUAUAUAUAUUAACAAAACACGGACACCUCCAAGUACAAGAUGUAUCAAGGAAGCCCAAAGUAUUUACAAAUAUACAAAGUCAAUCAAGACAAAAAUUAGCGAAGUCCCAAACAAACCAAGGACUUGACCACCACAGUUGGGAACCAAAAACAAAAACAACAUUAUUAGCUUUUAGCCACCAAAGGGAAUACCGCUUGACUUUGUCCAGCAACUGAUCAAUGGAGCUACCUGUAUUGUUGAACAACCUUUGACUACGGUCAUUCCAAAUGAUCCACACACUAAGCAACCAAAGAAGCUGCAAAAAUGAGCACUGUGCUCGGCUCCACCUGCGGAAUGAGAGAACUGAAGAAAAUGAUCUGAUACAGUAAUGGGGUCUGGGCCUGAAACACCAAGCCAAGACCGCACCUGACACCACAAAGUGCCAUAAAAACCACAAGAAAUAAAUAAAUGUUGAGACGUCUCAAGUUGGCCGCACCCUAACAAACAACCCGCAUCCGCAUCUAAGAGAAUACCGCGAUGCAUCAGAUUGGACCUGGUAGGCAACCGAUCCUUUGUCAACCUCCAAGCAAAAAUUGAGACCUUAAAUGGAACAUAUUUAUGCCAAACUUAUAAUCAAAACUAUAACAUGUUGCAAUUUCAAUGAUACCACACACAUAUAAAAUCUCAUUUGCAGAUAUAUAUGAUAUGAUAUAUCCUUAAUCCGUGUACCUCAAGUACAUGCCUUCUCAUCUUUCUUCUUGUCCCAAGAAAUGGAAAAAUGAAACAAAAUAAAAAACCAUAAAUAUUUUCUAUUGUAUAUACAUGUACAUAACACCUGAUUGGAUAAGGUGAAAGUGACUAUUCUACUACAAUAUGAGAAAGUAUUUGUACUUUCAUCAUGAGAGACACUACAUUUAACAUCUAAUGACCUCUCGAAUAAGACUGACUCUAAUACGGAAGAGAUUUGAAGUUAACCAUAAAAAAAAUAUAUAUACAUAUAUACUAAAAAGAUAUGUAAAUUAAAUGAAUAAUAAAAAAGAAAUUAAUAUCUUUGAUGAUUGAUCAAGAAACUGCAACACGGUUCAUGACAAAAAAUCGAGUAGGUUUUGGUUGAAAAGUCUUCCGCCUAUGAAGAUCAUGGCUAGAGGGAUGCUUAAUUAUUUUGAGGAGAAUUGCCUUCAAUGAAUUAUUAGCAUUUGCAGCCAUGACCAUCGAUGAGCGAUCAAAAUAAUGAUUCAAGUUAGAGGAGGAGGAAGAUGAGGGUCGAGCUACCACAAUGCGUGGUGGUUUCUUGUGCUUGCUGCACCGGAAUGAGCCUGGAUGGUUGGUCGGUGAGCACAUGCACGUACGAUGUGGUUGAUUUGUGUGGGAAUGAGGGUUUGUCAUGGAAGAAGCAUUUCUUGAGGCCAUAUAGAUCGAUCGGGGGAAUAUGUAUGUAAAUUGUAAAGAACGAGUUAAUAAACCUAUCUAUAUGAGAGUUUAUAUUUUGAGGCCAUGAAAAAGCGGCUUAAUAGAGUAGACUCAUUAUGGUAUAUUAUUAGGUAAAAACAUUAUUGACCUUUUGUUUCAGUACGAAUUUUUAGUAUAUUUGAUGGUUGCUCAAGCAAUUUUAUAGGAAUUUAUUCGCUCUCAAGCUCUAACCUUCUUUUAUCUAUCUUAAUCACACCACGGGACAUUUUCUAUUCUUUUCAUUAUUUACUAGACUUUCCACCCGUGCUGCCGCACGAGUCAUAUACAUUGUAGAUGUAGACAAAAAUAAAUCUCAAUGCAUAUCAAAGAGAAUGAAAUAUGUGGUCCCAAAUAUAUGCAGAUGUUGGAAUUCGAACCUCAAACACCACACGUAUUCACCUUAAAAAUAUUAAUUUUUACCAAUCGUGUGUUACUUCAUUCUUUUGUUAAAAUUAUAUGUCAAUGUUAUAUUAUUGGUAUGUUACUUCAUCUUUUUUUUUUUUUUUUUUGACAAAAUGUUACUUCAUUCUUUUGUAAAAAUUAUAUGUUAAUGUUAUAUUAUGUACCUAAAAAUAGCUCAUUCUUAACCUCAACAUGUAAAAUGUUUUAUUUAAAUAAUUUUCCUUUUAUCGAAUAUUUGGCAUUUACCGUAAAUGAUACUCUUUAAAUGUUUGUUGAAAUGUUUCUUCCACCUAUUUAUAUAGAUUACAAAAUUCUGGUGCAUUUUGUGGUAGAUAUUUAACAAAGAGCGUUCAGUUCUAAUUUGGAUGAAAAGUGUAAUAUUAACAAAAAAAAUGGUGCUAUAAUCUUUCAAAACCCUUUUAUUCCAAUAGAGCGAUUUGUUUUGUUGAAUAAAUAGGGCGAUUUGUUUUGAAGAAAUAAGGGAAAUAAAGCGAUGCCGAUUUGCUUUGUUCAUGAAAAUAGGAGAAUAGGUGUGAGCAUUAGGGUUGUUCAUGAAAAUAGGAGAUUAGGUGUGAGCAUUAGGGUUAAAACAGUAAAAUUAUGCAAUAGGGUUUAGGUUAAAAUUAGGGCUUACGAGUUAACUUUAAUAUAUAAAAAGAUUAGGUGUGAGCAUUAGGGUUGUUCUUAAAAAUGGGAGAUUAAGUGUGAGCAUUAGGGUUAAAACAGUAAAAUUAUGCAAUAGGGUUUAAAUUAAAAUUAGGACUUAUAGGUUAAUUUUAAUAUAUAAGAAGAUUUAUAUACAUUAGUAUUUUAAUACCUAUUAUUUAUAACAAUACAUGCAUUAUACUCUUUCUAUUGAAGUAGCGAUCUUCUUGAAACAUCUCCCAACCUUGUUUCAAAUUGAAUUGAUCCUGACUGGCUCGGGGGGAAUAUGAAGAUUGCGCUACAUGCACUAAGAAAUUGCUCACAUACAUCAUUAUUGUUUGUUGAACGACAAUUGACUAUCGUUUUCUUUAAAAUAAUAGUUAAUUAUCGUUCAACACUUUUAAAUUGGUUAUAUCAUAUUUUAAAUCGGUGUAAUCGAUUUAAACUAUCCCCCAAUCGAUGGUUAAUUGUCGUUAGAUGUAUUUUUGGUAAUUUGAGUUACAUAUGAACAAAUGAUAGGUGCCUAAAGAGCAAUUUUUGGAAAAUAUUUUAGUUCCAACUUCCUAGUCGAAGCCCAAUUCGUAAUUUCUUAGAAUAGGCCCAAUGUCUCUAUUUAACAAUUACUCUAAAUUUUUAGACUAUUAUUUUUUCCACCCUAUGACAUUCUCACACGCCCUUUUUUUUUUUUUACUUUCCAAAAAUACAAUUGGUUUGGAUUAUAUAAUCUAAACUAGGUUUGAAUUAUAAAAUCCAAAACAUUCAGAAACUGUUGGAACCUAAAGCACCUUGAUCCUGAAGUACAUUCGAACAGUUCAGAUUAUAAAAUCCGAACACUUUUAGUCAGUUAGUUUUGGAAUAUAAAAUCCGAAGAGUGUCAAACACCUCAUAAAAUGUCAAACUUUGGAGUAAAAAAGACACAUUUGAAUUAUAUAACCCGGAAUGUAUCAUCACAAAGACAGAAGUGCUUUGUUUUGGUUGAGACAUGCAUUUGACACUUAUAUAACCAAAAAAUAAAUAAAGCUAAUGCAAUUAUUUUGGGAUUUUAAAAUUUGAAAGUCCAUCAAAAAACAUAAAAAUACCACAAAAAAUUGUAAAAAUCAAAUAAAGCAAGUGAAUUUUUUUCUCGUUUUUUUUAGAAUUUGAAGAAAUAAAAAAAAUGAAAAACGAGUUCAAAUGAUGGAAUUUUGAGUAGCGAAGUCUUUUUAAGAAGUCUCGUCUAGGGGACUCCUGUUCUUUGAUAUUUUUUCUCAUGAUCUUGUGACUAAAUUUCAGAGUAGUCCAAUCAAGUAGCUUGAAAAUCAGAUUUUUCGAUCAGAACACGGUUGGAACAACUAACAUUGACCUGAACUACAAGACAUACUAUUGCAGUGGAUUAUAAUGGUUAGAAAUGUUAGUAUGAUUCUUAAAUGGACUGUCUCUAUUUCAAAAUAUGUUCAAUCUUUAUGUUGAUACAAUUCAUAUUAUAUAAUUCAAACAUGUUUUUCUAUUGAUAUUUUGGCAAAAGAAGGUGUAUGUAUUCAAAGUUUAUAAUAAACAAACAAACACUUUAGAUUUUAUAAUCAGAACGCGCCCUUUACAUGCUUGAAGUAGGGUCUAUAGGGGGUGCCCUAUAAACAACAAAAAGUUGUACCAAAAAACAAACCACAAAAAGCUCUUUAAUGAUCUUAAACAUGUAAGCCAACAUUUUUUUUAACAUCAAAGGAUUUUUAUUCAACAGAAGUGAACUAUAUUUCAUUUAAUGUUAUCCUUCCUAAAUUACACUUCAAUCAGUUUAUAUUUUAUCUUCCAAUAAAGUAUAUUACAAGUGUGCUAUGUAUUUCUCAAAUGUGCAUGAGCACCAUAUAAAUUUUAUUCAAUUUCAAUAUAUAUAUUUAUAGUCCACCAAGUUAAGACUGUUUGAUGUAAUUACGAUGAUGGAGUUGUCUUUCAUAGACAAUCCAAAAUACCAAGGACAACACUGCAGCUACAGAUACCACAUUUGAUCCCCAAUAAAUAUAUUUAGUACAUCUCUCUAGGCCAGGACAAUAGUUGUUGUUAAUAUCUACGAACAUUUUUCGAACAAAAGUACAAUCCAUUAAAUCAACCAAAAAUGGUCCAUAGUGAUACAAACCAUAUGCCACUUCCACAGCAGUAGCAAGUUGUGUGUACAAGUAUGGAGCCAUGCAACCAGUCGUACCAUAAUUAUCCAAUGGAGAAACUUGGCAUGUAUAAUUCUUCCACGCCUGCUUGGAUAUUGAGAUCAAAUAAAGGUUAGACUUAAGGGUUAGUAUUCAUCAUAUUUUAGAGUUUAGGGUUAGAAUUCAUAUUUUGUAGCUCUUACCUCAGUGGCAUUUUCAAAUGCAACUUCCCCAGCAGCACAAUCUCGAACUGUAAAGUCACUAUUGAAUGGAUUACAAAGAAGAGGCAUAGAGGGGGCUGAUUGAUUAUGAGACAUAGAAUUUCCAUUCAAGAUAAUGGAAAUGAAGCCAUUAAUUGAGUUAGCAAGACUAUAUAUUACAGACUUGCUUUGCAAAAAGGUUUCAUGGGUUGAUUCAAUUUCAAUGCAUGGAAGAAUUUCAUCCAAGGAUGUGUGAGCUGUUGGGUUCAGAACCCACUCGUCCAUGGCAACACAAGUAUCACCAAUUGCACUGUAGUCAAAAUAUAUAUGCAAGGAAAUAUUAGCAUUAUAAGCAUGAACGUAAAAGAUAAGAGUAGAGUAAAACUUUCCUGUUAUAAUUUUCUUCUAUCUUUUUUUUUUAAAACUAUUUAUGCCAUAAAGGAUAUUUAAUUUCUAAUCAACUAGUAAAUCUCAAAACCCCAAAGUUCAUAAUUGCAUGAACGCAACACAACCAUUACCACAUUUUAAACCGUGAGUUCUAUAAUCUUCUUAAGAUUAUUUCCUCCAAAUUUCUACUAUUACAAUGAAGCAUAUAAUAGAUUCAUAAUUGCAUAACUAAUUUUAUUCAAGUAUCUUUUAUAAGUUGAGAAACCAAUUCAAUAUUUUAGUUUUUUUUUUUUUUUUUUUUUUUUUUUAUGUUUGCGGCAAAGGUUUUUUUUUUAUUAAUUCACAAUUUUAGUGAUGAUGAUAGAAAUUUCUACCCGUUAUUUAUGCUAUUGAAUUUUCUCAUGCUAGAUGUUGAAAUAAUUUAUGGCUUCAAUAUGACUCACUCCUCACGGUUCAAGAUUUUAUUAAUGUAAAUUUGAUUCCUUAGAAGCUUAAAGUUAACUGAAAAGGAAUUUUCGCUUGAGAGUUUCUCCUAUUUAUAGAGAAUGAAAUACUUGUGCAGAUAGAAUAGUCAAUGCUGGCUUCUUUGUUGAUGGUUUAGUCCGAAGCGAUCAUUUACCUAAUUUUAGAUAAGCUUAUGUGAUAUUAUGUUACACAAUUGUAAUUUUUGUUUCAGAGAAGAUAAUUUAUUUAGAGAAAAGGGUACAUCCAAAAUUACACUAAGACAAAAAGUUAUAAUAAAUUGGAUCUCAAAAUUAACAAGUGAAAUAAGAACUUACUUAUGAAGAAAAACAAAUGCACCACAAAGUAUAAAUGUUCCUGCAACAAGAAUCCAUCCAGCAAAUACUAAGCUGCAACCAUGAAAACACACAAUUUCCACAACAAUCUUAAUGAGAUACAAAAAAAUCAAUAACUUUCAUAUCUAGAAAGAAAAAAAAAAUGAAACUUACGAGUAUAAAGUAUACUUCAACCCAAGUAUUGAAGUAACUGCAAAAAAAAAAAAAAAAAAAAAAAAUCACAAAAACCACAUAAGGAAAUGUGGUUAUACUUUGGUAAACCUUCAGAAUAGGAUAAGAAAAAUAAAAAAAAAAUAAGUUACUACAAUACUCACAAAAUCCAAGAACUAAGACAAUAAGCAUAGAAGUAACAAUAAUUAUAAGAGCCAAUCUCCUACAUAAGAUAAAAAAUUAUUGUUAGAAAAUACAAUUUCAAUAAGCAAAUAAAAAUAAUAAAAUUAAACUCACAUUCCAUGGAUGGCGUUGUGUAACAUUUGUGAAUUAUUGUGAGUCUUGAUAGAAAUAUCAGCAGCUACAUCAAUAAUUUUCUUUUUAACACUAUCAAUUUCUUCAUCAACAUCAUCAGGUAAACCAAAUUCAAUAGCCAUCAUUUUAGCUGAAUCCAAAUAGUUUGUCACAUUCUUUAGGUUUUCAAUUGUGAAUUCAGCUUGGCUCACGAUAUACUUCAUUGUGUUUGAUGUGGUUCCAUGAAACUGUUGCUCACUAGUGUACAAAACAACACAUCCACCUCUGACGUAAACAAACAAAUAUGAUUAGGAGACAAAACUAUUAAGUGAAACAAACACACUAUUUAAUGUGUUUUGAAGAUUAAGGAAGAUUGUUACGUACAUUGCCACAAUUGUACAUAGGAUAAGGAAGAUGAAGGUUGCAUAACAAACUAGUUGAGAAAAGCCAUGAGGAUCUCUAGGGCAACAACAGUAACACACACAAAUGAUGUGUAAAACAAGCCCAAAAACCACCAACCAUGUUGCAGCAACAACGAAGAAAGGAACUGCUGUAGAAAGAACAGACUGCACCAAGACAACAGCAAUUUAAAGUUAACAAUACAAACUCAAACAUGAAAUAACCAAUUAAAAUGCAGGUGUAUUUUCCAUAUAUUAUUGAGAAGCACACAAAAUAUUGCAAUGGAUUCAAAAUAAUGUUAGGUAUAUAUGAUCCAACCGGGUGUAAAAUUUAACUACAUACAUACACGUGAAGGCCUACAUUACCCCUUCAUGAAUUGGAGGAAGAUUUUUGGAACACAAAAGUAUAUGUUGUUAAUCACUUUUGAAAUCUAUAGGUCUAUAUAUAUUUAUGUAUUUUCUGAAACUAUGCAAAAUACUCUCUACGAUCAAAUUUAUAAGAUUUUUUUUUUUUUUUUAGGUUCAUUGGAUAAUUAAUAGACUAAAUACAUAGUUAUUUAAUGAACCUAAAAAAUUAUAUUUCACUUAUAAAUGUGUCCAGAGAGAGAGUAAGUGGUUAAUGUCUUGCAUUUUUGUAAUUAAUAAAGUAGUCAAAUGAUUAAUGAAAUUUAUGUUCCAAAAGUGAUUAAUAAUGUACACUUUUUGGUUAAUUUAGUAGUGAAGUUGCUUCUAAAUGACACAACUCAAAUUUUGUGUUGUAAAAUCCACCUCUAUAUUAAAAAAUGUUUUUUUGACAAAUUAAACACGGUAAACAAUAAAUGGUGUCGUAUUUGUGUCUAAUUUUAUUUUAUGUGUCCAAAUAACAUAAUAAUGAAUAUACGUAGAACUAUAACAAGGGAAUAGAAGGAGGGUAACCGAAAUAUAUUCAGGAUUGCUAAUAUUCCAGCCACCAGUGUAGCGUUUGAAAUGGUUAAAAACAUCUUUUCGAAGAGUUCUUUCUUGAGCAAGCACGAAAGUUUUAUUCUCCUGAACACCUUCUACAACUAAUGAUCUCCAUGCCAUCCAUGAUAACUCUUCAUCAACUUGUUUAUCAACAAUGAAUUUGACACCAUCUGAAAAUAAGAUUCUCAUUUGAAGAAUAUUAAGCAAUUAGAUUAAAUUAAUUUAAGAGAGGUAACAAAGAAAGUAAAAGAGAUAAAGAAUGAACCUGGUUGAAGGGAGGAGUUGAAAGGAAAGGAAAUUCCAUGAGUUGAGUAAAGAAUGAGAAAAAGGGAGAAGAAGAAAAUAAGAAAAGAAGGGAUUGAUAUGAAACGUAACAUGAUGAUCAUGGUUAAUGGUGUGUGCCUUGUGUAAUUUUAUAGAGCAAAAAAGUAUAAUUAGAUUUUGAACAUUAUAUUACAUGUGAGAUUUUAUGCAUUGCAUUGUAUUAAUGUGGUAUUUUUGAAUAAGGAAAGUUUCGGUUAUCCUUAUAAAUGACAGAUGUUUUAAAUACAAAAAAGGAAAAGAGUACGAGUAUUUAAUGGUGAAUAUGUUCAUUGCACCCACUUAAAUGAAAAAUCAAUUUGUAUAAUAAAAAAUGUCGUUCUUUCAAGUAAACAUUUGUUAUUCAUUCAUUAAAUAAUAUUAAUUGAAUGAAUCUAAUUUUUGUUUAUAAUAAUGACCAGAAUCGAUAUGAUCUUGUAUUGCACUUUGGCGUAUAUGUUUCAUUUGAUAAUUUUUAUUUUAAUUCACCUUUUUGUUUUUCAAUUUCAAAGUAUUUUAUGUUAGCUAAAAUUAAUUUUAAAAUGCAAAAUAGAAACUUACUUUUAAAAUUCCUCCUUAAUUUUUUUUUCUUCAUAAAAUUACUUUUAAAUGGUAUAUUAGGAAUGUUGAAAGAAAUUUACUUUUAAAAUGCAAAAUAGAAACGGAAAGAUUGAUUUAUGAUUUGGGUUGAAAUUUCAUAUAAAGAAGUUUGAAAUUUUUUAAUUUAUCUCUUUAUUACUUAAAAUAUUAAUUAAUUUUUUCUUUCAAAAUAAAUGAUAUGUUGUUACUAGGAAAAUUUAUCUUAUUUGUUUUUUGUUACCAUGUUACAUAUAAAUAUGAAGUUUCUAUCUAUCAUUAUUUAACGAUGAAUAAUCUUUUUUUUUUUUUGUUGAACAAGCAAAAAUGAUAUAUAUUAACACAUCGAAAAAAUUAUGCUCCCUAGCACAAGUAGUGCGUAAAGAAGCAGAACAAAGUUAUAACAAGCAAUCGUGGUGAUACAAAAGAAAGUGAAAAAGCAAUCAGCCAAAAUGAAUCAUCUAAUCUCCAAACAAACAAGAAGUUGCUGCCACCACAAAUGGUAGUCAAAGGGAAAUCACACAUUUUUAGCUUUCAACCAUCGAAGGGAUGUAAUUUUAACCAUUUUCAGGGCAUAAUGGAUUUAACAUUAUUAGAGAAGAGCAUAUGCUUCCGUUCAUUCCAAAGAACCCAAAUACAACAUAGCCAAAUCAAAUGUAAAAAGGAACGCCAGGGAGUGUAUCCUUUUGAAGAAUAAACAAAUUGAAAAAAGUGAUCCAUAACAUGUUAAGGAUCCACAGAAUACACAUCGAGCCAAGUCUUAACGAUGAUUAAUCUUAAUUGGGGAACUUGUGAGUCGCACAUGGUGAGUUCUCUCAUCCCAAUAGAAUUUUCUUAUACACAAGGUGAAGAGAUCAAAUCAAUAAGAUGAAGAGAUAAAUUAAUCUCUUAAAAAUUUCCCUAUUUAUAUACUUCUUAUAUAUUUUAUUUCAUUAUUAUUAUUAUUAUUAUUAUUAUUAUUAUUAUUUAAAGAAGGUUUAUUUAGCUAAUUACAUCACAUGUGUCAUCCUCUGAGUUAUUUGACAAUUAAUGUCAAUAAAUUUUAUUUAAUAAUUUCUAUAUCAAUUAAUUUAAAUUAAUUAAUCACAUUUAAGGAGUGAUUUUUUUUAUAUUAAAGUGACACUAAUAAUUGUUUUGCAACCAGUUUCAAGGGGUGUUUAAACUUAACACUUUGAAGUUACAAUGUUAAGCUCUUACCAUUAAUCAUAUUCCAUAUUUUAUUCUCUUAAUUAUUCAAUUUUUUUUUGUUACUUUAGAUUUUAAAAAAUAAAAUAAAUUCAUUUAAGAUUAAUUAACUAUAGCUAACUGAUUGGUAUUGGAAAUAUAAAAAGUAUAAAAAAAAUUCAUAAUUAUAUUUACUACACCCACAAUAAAACUCACGUUUUAGUCCCUCACUCUUUUCUCUGUUUGCCAAAUAAAUCUUUGGCUGUUAAAUUUAACUUCAAAUGUCUAUGGUAGAUCAAAACAUUAUAGAUAGUCCACCAUAGACCUUAUUAAUUUUUCCAAUUUUAACCCUUUGACAUUUUUUUUUAAAAAAGAGGGUUACUUUAGUAAUUUUCAUUAAAACAUAUUUGUUAACUUGCAUCAAUUUGCUAACUUAGAGCUACUUUUAUUUUAUAACAAAUAGUUUGAGGGAUGUUUACUAAACUUUACUAUAAAUUGGUUUACACGAGUGGAUAUUGGUUUUUUUUUUGUCCAAAUGAAAAGGUGCACUUUUGCUAACUUGGACCUUCAUGUUUUUUGUUGGUCUAAGUUAGUGUGUGCGUGUGUGUGUGUCUAUAUAUAUAUAUGAGUCAAGAUCCGUUGACACCAGGUGUCAAUGAAUUUGUUGAUAUCAAAUUUUAACUGUUGAUUUCUUUUGAUCUAAAUGCUUAUAUUUAUUCAUUAAGAAUAUAAUGUGAACCACAUAAGAGUAUAUGUAGAAUAUCUUUUUGCGAUUUUCAUUUCCUAAUUUAUUUCGUUGAUUUUCUCUUUCUAUAUUUGUGAUUUACAUUCCAUUAAUAACUUUGUUCUAUGUGUGUAGCAAACAUAAGUAAAGUUUUUCUAUAAAAAAAAAAAGGGUAAAUUUCUCAGAAAAAAUAGUUACUUAUUCUUCAUUUUGUUCCAAUGCCAAGAUUCAACCUUUUCUAUUUGCAUAUGAUAACUCGUUUUCUAUAAGCUCCAUUAUUUCUUCUUCUUAAUCUUAUGCCAACUUUUUCUUUAAGCCAUGUUUCUUCUUCUUCUUCUUAAUCUUAUGCUAUUUUUUAUUGUUACAAUCUUAUAUUACUAAAAUGGCCUUCAUGUUUUUCUACUAAUUAAAAUUUUAAAGGAAAAAAAUUGAACGAAAGCAAUUUAAAAAAUAAUUUGGCACAAAUCAUGGCAAGUCAACCGUAUUGAGGACAUGUAAUUCAUAACAACAAUGUAUUUCCACCGAUGAAUUGAAGUGUUGUUCUACUUGUUCAACAAGUUCAAUGCAUAAUUUUUUUUUUUUACAUAAUAAUGCUUGUUAAUUAAAUCUUGAUUAAUAUUUUGAAUUCAAAAUGAUUGAGGCUGCUGUAUCGUGCAAGCCCCAUUUUUCUACCCAUUGUUUCUUGCUAAUUUCUGGUAGAAUGCAAUUAUACAGGUUACAAUCUCACUAUGAAAAGAGAGAGAAUUUGGUGCAACAAAUUAGGAAAUGAAAAUCACAAUAAAUAUGGUAUAUGAUAUUUUUAAGUGGUUAAAUAUUAGCCUUUGGAUCAAAUGAAAUCAACGAUUAAAAUUUGUUGUCAACGAAUCCGUUGACACCUGUAUCAACGGAUCCUGACUAUAUAUAUAUAUAUAUAUAUAUAUAUAUAUAUAUAUAGAAACACACACACACAACCACAUCGUCGGUUUUGGUCGAUGAAAGUCCUACAAAGAAGUUUCGAUUGGGCAAUGGCCUUAGGCAUGAGACCAACUUUCAUAUUUUUUUAUUCAUGAUAGUUCCGGGAGGGUUGAACGUCGGUGGUUCAUCUAUAUUUUUAUAUUUAUCAUCUUUAGUUUGCUUAUGAUACUUUGAUCAUGGGAGAAAAUAGUUGGAGAAAUAUCAGAAGUUUGAAGACUAAUCUAAUCCUUUUUGAAAUCAUUUCGGACUUGAAAGUGAACUUUGAUAAAAGUUUUACUUGUUUGUAUCAAUGUGGUAGAUUCUCGAUUGGUGGAAGCGGAUAUUCUAUUGUAGGAGAUCAUCGUCGCUUAUCUUUCUGAUAGUCGUUGUAUGAUAACGUUCGUAAAAAAUUAGGGUUGAAAAAGUAAAUAUUUAUCAACGUAUUGUUGGUUUGUUCAUAUAAAAUUUGUUAUGUCGUCAAUUCUAGUUUAUUUCCUUUCUUCAAGUCUCCCAUAAGUUUUCUCAAUUGAUAUAUGAAUCAAGUUUGUAUCCUUGAAGGUGUCAUUAUUUGCGUGGAAACUUGUGAACAAAAGGAUCCCUACUAAGAAUCAUCGCUUGCGCCAUGGAGUGGUAGCUUUUAUUUCUUUCCUUUAUCUAGGAGAGCGUGGGAAGGAAGAAACAGUUAACCAUCUUUUCUACGAUGUGUUUUCUUCGAUUGUAUAUGAGGACCAAUAUGUAUUACAAAUUUGAUUAUUAAUUAUUUUUUUAAUUUUGUUUAAAAAAAUAGGAGGGUGACGCCGAAAUUCUAGCUGACAUGAUAGGGAUCUUACUAUCUAAUAUCUAUCUAUCUAUCUAUCUAUAUAUAUAUUGUAUGAACAUCAAAUUAAAAUUCGAAAUUUCUAAAAAACUUGUUUGUCUAUUUAUACGAACGAAAAGGUAGCCUUUUAAGUCUUUUCUUCUUCAAGUAUACAUAUGCUUUUUGAUUACAGAAUCUAAUAAUAGUGAUAUAUUAUAAAGUUGACUGCAAAUUAUGCCAUCAAAUAAAACAGAACAUAAUUAGAAUGAAGAUUGGGCCGUGCUCACUGGAUAACGAUCCUUUGGAUGAUUUGGUGUAGAGGAAAUCAGAAAUGUUGGAACAAUGUAUUACAAGUAGUGUUUGAAGUUAGUAGAAGAGCAAGAGAGGCUUUGGAAGAUUGGCCAUGCUCAUGAGUAAGGUUUAAAUAUGAAGCAGGUAGCAAAUCCAAACGACAGCAUAUCCAACAUAAUUGGGCAAAACCACACAAUGAGUGCAACGUAGACUACAUUGAAGAGAAGUGAUCAAAGUUGGUAUUGACACAUCUUACUAACCCAAUAAAUAGUAAAUUCAUGAUUUUAUUUUCUUAUGGCAUUUUAAUCUUUAAAUUUUUGGUCUUCAUCUUUAAAUUAACGAGGAGUGUUAUAACACUCUUUCUAAGACUCUUGCUAACACAUUCACUUGUUUAUUGGAUGAAAUUCAUGUGAGUAUCACACUUUAAAAAUGGAUCUCAUGUAAAAUGGUGACACUUACAUAUGUUUUACCCAAUAGAAGAGUGGGUCAAGAGAGUGGCUCCUAACAUUUCUCUAAAAUAAUACUAAUAAUAUAAAAUAAGAUAUUGGCAUGGGCGGUUUAACCGCCCGGCGACCUCGGUCGACCGGGCUCGAUCGAUAAUUUUUGCAUAUUAGACCCAACCCAAAAGCUCAUUAACACACUUACAAAAAGAAAAAUUUGGGUGAAAACUCUCACACGCAAAUAGGCUCGGAAAAAACAUUUACCUCCUAAUUUUAUUUAGCACACUAUUGACGGGUUCAUCUCUCUUAUUUUAACGGGUUAAUUGUUCAAAUUGACCAUAUAAUAUACAUUAUGUCUGAAAAAUGACCCUGUAAAAUACAAAACAUAUAUUCUAACAUUGUAACAUGGAUUUCUUCUUAUUUUUGACCACCCUAUAAUAUACGCGUAGUCUUAAAAUGUGACCUACAAGUUGAAUUUUUUUUCACUAUUUUUUCAUACAUGUUUAAUACGUUAAAAUAUAGCUUUACACAAAAAAUUAAAUUUCUUCGACAGGGAUAAAAUAAUUAUGAAUUUUUAUUCCUUCAUAAUUAUGAAUUUCUUAAACAAUUUAUAAUUAAUUUGUAUGUCGUUUAAAAACUACAAUAUUUUAUUGUGAAGGUUCUUAUCAUGUUCUAGUAUUGCCUACAAAAUUAGGGAACUAAUUUUGACUUGUGAGUAUACGCUUACGCGGAACAAAAUUUCAAUUUUGCACGUUUUGGUUGAAAAAUCAAAAUAAUUUAAACGACUUUGAAAUGUUAUGAAACUUUACAGAUCCUUUUUAUGUAUUUUUAUAGAUGUCUUUGCAAAUAAUGAGCUUAAAAUUCAAUUUAUAGGUCGAGAUUUCCGUUGUUUUGUUUUUUUAGUUUUUGACAUUUUAAAAAUUCAUAAUCAAUUUGUCGUUUGUCGAAAAUUUAUAAUUUUUUCUAUGUAAAGCCAUAUUUUAACGUUCUUAACUCGCCUCUAAGAAAUCAUGAAAAAAUUUCAAUCUCUUGGUUUCUUUUUUGGACUUCGCGUAUAUUACAGGGUUAUAAAUAAUAAAAUUUGUGAAUUACAUGUUCAGAAUACAUGUUAUUUAAUUACAUGGUCAAUUUUUCAGACUUCGCGUAUAUUACAUGGUCAAUUUUUCAGACUUAACGUAUAUUACAUGGUCAAUUUCAAUUAAUAACCCUAUUUAAAAUGUACUUUUGUUGACAAAAGGAGGAACCUUUUUUAUUUCGAUUUAUGAAUGUUUAUAUAUUAUGUCACAUGUUAAUUUGCGAUAAUUUUUUUGCCCAGACUCCAUAAAUUUCCUGGCUCCGCCACUAGAUAUUGGGAUGCUCUGCACAACUAUAUAGAAAAGUGAGUGUCAGAUAGAGUGCUUAUAACGAGGGCUUUAGUGGUCUUACCCUCGGGCUGACCCUGCAACUUGCCUGAAAAAAGCCUACGUAAGGGAAAAAAAUGACAAAUUUCACCUCUGUAAUUUUGAAUUCUUUAUAGUUUACCUUCACAUGGUUAAAAAAUAUUUGGACGAAGUUUGAAAAUGAAAUGACCCCUCUAAAAGGUAAAAAUGUUUGAAAAAUAGUAAAAAAAAAAACAAUUAAUUUAUGAAUAAUAUAAAAUUACAGUUAAAAUAUGUGUUUUUGUUUAACAGAGCUUAGCCUAUUUUUCGACAUCUAUAAUUUACGUAGGUUAUUUUAUGUCCUAAUUUACAUGGUUUUCACUUUUCAUAUUAUUUUCCCCUCUACUCGGUUCCAUACCAACGCUUUAUCGAGUUCCCCUACAAAAAACACUUUAUCGAGUUAUAUUUUGUACCGUAUCCAAUGGGUUAAGUAUUUUUUUUUGGUCAAAAUAAUAAUAACUUUAAAUCCAAGAACGGACCCAAUAUAUUCUCACAACCUGUAUAUAUUGGUAUGGCUAAUCCCUCAAAAUGGUAGAAUACCAAUUUAGGGUUAACUCCUUUCUCAACGGGAUAGAACUCUAUUUUUAUCACUAGAUCGAAAUCUUAGAUUACACCUUGUUGGUAAAAAAAUAAAUAUAUUUAGAGGUUCUUAACCUUAAGUAUGUGAUAUUUUAAGUAUAAAAUGACCGUUUUAAAAUGCACACGUACAUUAGUAUUUUAUUAGUACCAAUAUUUUUGUUAAUUUUCAAGAUUUAUUCUGGCUAGUCAAAAGCAGGAUUCUUGACUAGGAUAGUAGUACUAACACAAUUAUUAUAAUCACCAUACUAAUAUGAAAUUACUUAAAUAAAUGUACAUACCAUAACUUGGAAUUGGGAAUCACGUGAUACCAUUAAGACAAAACCCCCGACCAAGUGAUUAAUUAAACAAAAAAAAAACUUCAAUUUCGAGAGAGAAAGAACUUUGAACAAUUCACUUCAGUCAAAACAUCAUGUCAUAGAAGUAAUUAAAAAAAAUUAAAUAUUGAAGUAGUAGUAAAAUGUUUUUUUAGCUCUUUGUGCUACUGCUUAGCUUAGCUUAAUUUUAUUGAUUAAGGUAGCUAACACUAAUUAACAAAGAGGAGAUCUAUGAGGAACUCCUUUUCUUCUACUAAUCAUACUAGUAGCCAUAUCUUCAUCAGAAACUUUAUUGCUAUUAGAAUUGGCCAUGAAUUUUGCACACAUACUUGUCCAUCCACUCCUUCUCUUCCUAACAAUUUCUGUGCAUGGCAUUGGCAUACUCAUAUUCUCUGACCCUGAUGAUGAUACUGAAUAUGAACUCAUUGGAUCAUCACAAUCCACAAUUGUUGACCUUGUCAUCUCUAAUUCAUCUCCCAUCUCUUGUGGAAUUAGAUAGUCAGGACUUAAUUGUAGGGUGUUGCAUAUCCUUAAGUAGGGUGAAAGGUCUUUGUAGUGUUUCAGCACAAAAUCCACCUACAAAUUUAUACUCCAUAUGAUCAAAUUAAGCAUAUUUAACUAAUUAACUAAUUUUCUCUUAUAGUCCUUUUUGAUAUAAUUAAAUUCAAGUACAUAUUUUUUUUAUUAGAAGGAAACUGAACUCGGUAUCCCAUGAUUUAUAACACUGCGCAUCAAUUACAAUUUCUAUAUAAUUCAAGUAUAUCCGAUCAAUAUGGGUUCAAUUUCGAUUUUAUUUUAGUCAAUGAGCAUAAGAUAAUUCAAGUAUAUCCAAUCAUUUGUUCAAUUCGAGUCAAUUUCAAUUUACUUGUAAUCAAUGAGCAAAAAUGAAUUUAAUUCAAUGAAGUUUUGAUUGAUACUACUACUAGUAUAUAGUAUAUGUUCCAUUAAAGAACAAUCAGUUUCAUUAAUCCAUAAUUUUACGUAUAAACCAUUUUUUAGCACAUAAAUAAAAGAGUCAAUUAAAAACAAUCAGUUUCAUUAAUACUCCAUAAUUCUAUGUAUAAUUAAUAUAUGUACCUUGCAUCCAAGAGAGCAAUGGAUAAAAGGUUCUUGGAGGAUUCUAUCACAUGAAGUGCAGUAGUUUCCUGAUCCUUUGAAUUGGCGGUUUUGAGGUCUCUUCUUGAUGAACACAACUUUGGCACUAUUGAUAGUAUAGGCCUAGUAAACAACAUAAUUCAAACCUUUUUCAAUCAGAAAUUAAAAAACUACAUCCAUGUUGAAUUACAUAAGAUUAAAUUGGAAUUCAAUUAAGUUUUCUUGUAUGCAACAUAUAACUAGUGAACAUGUAUAUGUACCUGGACAUUGGUGCAGUCUAUAAGUUUCUCAAGUUCUUCCAAUCUAAGAACAUCAUGAUAAACAUAACGACGAACUUGAAGAAGGCGGUGGUAGCGAUGAGAUGGAAAGCAAUGAGGACAAAUACUAGUGCAACAAUCUAAGCAACAAACAUUCUUCUCAUUCUUUUUUGCAUUCUCAUGGUAAGAGCAACCAGCAAAGAAUUUUUCUGUAUAAAGAGCUUCCAACCAUGAAGGCUUUUGGCAUCCCUAAUCAUUUUAACCAAAAUUGAAGUCAUCAAUAUACAAGAAUUUUGAUAGAAAAAUAAUCAAGAAAACAAAGAGAAUUCAACAAACCAUGAUCAUAUAUAUGAAGACUUGUUGAGCUUUAUUGUAAUCAAGGUAUAGUAGCUAAAAAAGAGAACACAAGAGAGUAUUUAUGGAGGUUCACAAGAAGGGUAGGGACAUAAGAUAUAGAUAUAAAUAUUUAUUUCUUGGAUAUGUAAUAAAGAAAAUAUAUAUAUUUUUUGUAUAUAUAUGUUAUGAGAGGAAUAAAUAUGAUAUGAGAGGAUGAAAAAGACAGAGAAAGAGAGAAUCAUAAAGAAACUAAGUUAAGAUAUGAGGGGAACGUGGGCGCUGUUUCCGUGUCUCCCAUUCUCUUAAUCUAAACUAUUCUGCUCUUCUUCUUGGCUUAAGAGCUCUAUUGAAAAAAUAAACCUAUCUCUUCUUGAACUAGCUGCAUUUUAUUUACAUUUUUUUUUUUUAAAUUUGCCACCUCUCUUCUUAUUCAAAACAUCUUGGAAACAACCAGUUGCUAAUAGCAACUUUGAUUUUGAACUUUCAAAUUUAGGGGUUAAAUUCAAUAGUUUUGUGCAACUAAUGUAUAGGUUAUAAUUUCUUUUUUAGAAAUAUUUGCAAUGACAUCACAAUUACAGUCAAACUUACUUGCAUUUUACAAAAAAAAAAAAAAAAAUUAAAGGUUGGUAUAGCAUAACUACGCUCACAACAAUUUAAAAUCAUGGUAUAUAGUGUUGUAAGUCAUUGCUAGUUUAAUAUUUUAAAAGAUAUUCGGCCAUUUUCAUGCAUGGUUUUUUUCUUUUUUUUUUUUUAGGAAAUUUUCAUGCAUGGUUUUAUUUAAGGGACUUCUAAUUUUUUAGAGUAUAUAUAUUUUGAUUCACAACCCUCAAAUUUAUCAAGAUGAAAGGGUUUCAAUUUUUAUUUUUUUUAGAAUCUUGUAAGCGUAACUCAAAUAAUAGAUAUUCACUAUGUUUGAAUACGAUGCAAGUUCAAAUUCAAAAUACCUCCCCCCUCUUGUUUAGCGUGCAAGUAAUAUAUACAAAUAAAUAUGCAAGAAAUUGAAAUGUCAAAAUAGAGGUAUACAUGACAUGUAAAAUAUGUCUCCAAAAUAUUAUUUGAAAACUAAUUUCAUUAAAAAAUGUAAAUGAAAUUAGUUCCGACUAGUUAGUUUUCUUAUUAAUUAUAGUACUUUAGAAAGUCGGCAAAGUAGCACAUCAUAAAUUAUGAACCGAAUGAAAAGGGAAAGAAAAAGGACAGACAUAUUAGUUGAGAAAGCAGAACCGAACUUGGAAUCACCUUUUAACUCCAAACGCUAUUUUCUUUAAUGUCCUUCGUGCUACAUAUGUUGGACUUCUGCAAAUAUCUGCUCACCUCAGUUUGUACAAUUAUUAAUAUACGAAUUACUGUAUGACUUCAAAGCUAAGCAAUUAGAGCAUAGAGACACCAAUCACCUACCUACUUAGCAAGACAUAGCAUAAAACAUAGCACCGGAAAUUAAGAGCAUACUUGUUUGAUAAGUGGUAAUUUAGAGUAAUCAUUAACAUCACAUAUAUCAUGGUGAAGAAAAAAAAAUUGUAUCUAUACAUCUUUCUACGAUUAAAAAUGAGAACUAAAGGUGUACCUAGAAAACUACAUGACAUAAGGCCAAUGUAAGUUGGGGAUGAUAGACAAAAUGAGAGCUAAAGGUGUACAUAGAAAACUACAUGACAUAACGGCAACGUAAGCUGGGGAUGAUAGACAAAAUGAGAGCUAUAUGUGUACGUAGAAAACUACAUGACAUAACGCCAAUGUAAGCUGGGGACGAUAGAAUCUUGCAUAGGCCCAAAUCUAGAGGAUCAAUGCUUCCGACAAGUUUUGUUCACUCCCAACCAAAUUUUCGAAAAUACUUCUAGCAUGAGUUAAGUCACGCUGCGUGAGAUAAGUCACGCUGAAAGCCAACGUGAAUUAACUCACGUUGCAUGUCCUUUUAAAGGUCAGACAACAGCCCAAUUACUCAUGCUCCCAUGUCAAUUGAAACUUGUCAAUUAGCAGUAGAAUAAGAUUAAGUUCAAAAGAAUGUAUUGGAAUAGGGAAAAGGGAAGGGGAAGGAGAAAUAGAUGGUGGGGGAGAAGGGGACUGGGGUAAGGUAUGUUUCUUGUCUAAUGCGAAAGAGACCUUGAUGGCCAACCUUGCACCCAAACAAAUUAACCAACAUUACACUCAGACAAACCACACUUCUUUGUAGUGCGUUGCCAUCUCCAUUGACCAAUCAUACAAUUCUUGGAAUUUUUAAAGAGACCUCUUUCUAUGAAAGGUCAACGAGGGAAAAACAAUGUUGUUGUAGAAGGAUGAGGAGGAGAGAGUGAGAAGGUGAGAGUGUGAGAAAUGAUGAAGGUUUGAAACAUAUUUAAUUUAUUGGGGGAAUGAUUUACAUAUGUUAUAACCACAUUAAAUGCAGUCAAAAAACGUGUAAAACCAAGUUUGAAUAACUGACCACCAUCCCAAGAAACAUGUUUUAUGUGUUCAGACCACUGGCCAAAGCAGCGUGAGUUAAGUCACGUUGGUUUAUAACAUUCGUGAGUUAACUCACGUUGAAAGUACCCAACGUGACUUAACUCACGCAAGGGUACUUUCAUCCAUUUAGUUGACUGGGAGUAUUUUUUGUUGGGAGAAGAGCCUUUUUCAUGUAAGUUGGGGAUGACAGAAUCUUGCAUAGGCCCAAAAUCUAGAGGAUCAAUGCUCCAAUAAAUUUACCUUGUCUCUAACACGAUUUCAGACGUACACAUUUAAAAAUGAGUGUUUGUUGGAUGUUUUGGGAGGGAAUAGAUUUGAACAUGUGUCUUUUUGCAAAUUUUAGUUGUUUUGGUAUGCAUAGUAAUAUGUUCAUUGCACAAACAUCGCAUCUCGUGGAUUUUUUUUAAUAAGUUAAAUUAGCCCACCUAAACUGACUUUAAAUUAAUCGAACCUGACACCUUGAGAGGUAACACUCUCCCAGGUCUUAAGUCAAUACCAAUCGACCAACCCAAGUGGGUUGCAUCUCGUGGAUGUUGAGUGUUAAUAACGACGCAAGUAUUUAUGGAUAAACACAUCAUGAUCCAUCCUUAGGCUGGUUUUUUCUCGGUGUCUCCAAGGUGGUGGGAAAUGUCAUGUUUACUUCCUUUUGGGAAGAUCCGUGGCUUGAGGGGCGUUAUCUCAGUGUUUUGGCGUUUGGUUGUAGAGGUUGUUCGAUGUUUCUAGAUAGCGUGAGUUAAAGGUGGAGAAGAUGGGUUAUUUGGUGGGGGACUAGGAUAUUUGGGCUCUCACGUGGAGGCGGGUUCUUUAUGUUUGGGAAUUACAGAGAUGCAAGACCUCUAGAAUAGGGUUUAUAUUACUUUAGUGGAUGAUACUUGGGGUUGGGAUUUUGACCAGAGUAGGGUCUACUCAAAUUUGAAACGAUUGGGACCCAUCUAAGGUUAUCAUAUUUCCCUGGAAUUUGCUCCUCAAUGGGGUCCCAAUCCAUCAUAAUAUUUUUGUAAGAGAGUCUAUUAAACUAAUAACCCAGGUGGGAUCAAAUGAUCCUUCCAGUUGUCAUAAUAACCCAACAGGUCUAAAGGAUCAACUGACUCUUUUAUGAAUGAUUUGUGAAUACAUAUUGUAUCCUUAUAUAAGGAUUUCUCUCUACUUUUUUUUUUCUCUUGUAUAUGAGUUUUGAGUAUCCUUGUAUAAAUUUUUAAUAUAUGACCUCUUUUUAUUGUUCAAAAAAAAAUAUCUGAAUUUUUUUGUUAGCAUUGCAUUUUUGUUAACACUCGAUUUUUUUGUGGUGAAACUCGUGUGGGUGUCACAAUUUAAAAAUGGAUCCAUAUAAAGUGAUAAGAAGCACAUGAGUUUUAUCCAAUUAAAAAUAAAUGUUAGAGAAAAAAAAAGCGUUCCUAACAUUUUUCUUAUAACAUUUAAAAGUUUAUUUGAAAUGCAUCUCAUGACAUACACGCUUAUAUUGAUCUUUUUUACACUUCUGCAACAAAAAAAAAAAAAAACUUACGACUUGAACAUAUAAUUUGUAUUUUUAACUUACUCUAAUAAUCUUUUUAGAAUAAAUUGAUAAUAAUCGCCAGCUCUAUUAAACUAUUGAUGAUGCUAGGUUAUUGAAACAAAUUAGGGUUGUCUAGCUCAACUAUUUAAGGGUUGAAGAUAUGGCCAAAUUUGAAAGUAUAAUUUAAUAAAUAAAAAUAAUUGUCUUACAAAAAAAGAAAAAAAAUAGUUUUUCAAAUGAACAACAUAAACAAGAAAUUAUAAGAUAUAUCUAAAAUUUAUAUUAUCAAACAAAUAUAAAAUGAACUAACAUUUACCUCUGAAGUUGUGCUUGUCAUCGUUUCAUAGAGUUAAAAUCAUCAAUUAUAUAUAAUAUGAGGUAAAUCUUUUAGUAAUUUUACCUUAAAUAUAAACAAUUAUGUAAUUUAUGAUAAAAUCAUCUUCCAUCUUAUUGUUAUUGUAGCAUUGUUUUCAUAAUUUUCAUUCUUGAAAAUGUACAUUAUAUGGUUUUUGUUGACAAAAAAGAGUCAACACAAGUCGUAACACUCUAAUUUGAUUUACCCGUCUCAACUAAUUUUUUAUAUAAUUCACAAAUAGCAGACAACAUCUAAAAAUUGACAUCCGUAAGUACAUCAAAUUUAAAGUCUUACAAUUUAUAUUUCAAUCGAGUCUUUUUUUUAGUAGAAAAUUUUGAAGUGUAAAUUUUUUCAGCAAGGUGCGUACCUUUUUUAUAUUUUAUUAAAUGAUUUUUAAUAGUGAAAACUUAAGUAUUAAGGCUGAAUAUAUUGAGUAAAAAAAAGAGCCUAUUAUACAAUAUCAUAUGAAGUUUACAAUAAGAUAUAAAGACAAAAAAAAAUAACAAACCAAUGUAAAUAGAAAAUAAAAUUAAUUUGGGAUGACCAUGACCUAUGCUGGUCAUUCUUCUAACUUCGCCUAUAGCCAAAGGAGUUGGAGAACUUUUAUUGAUAAAAAAGAUAAUAUUAGUAACAACUAAUUAUUAACAUUGUUUUAUUCUUACCUUGGUUUUCCUCCAUAUUUUCAAAAUUCUGGUAUUGCAACUUAAUGCAACUUAAAAAAGAAAACUAGCACUCCCUAUCAAAGCUUUUUUAAAUUUCUUCACAAAAGGAAUUGAUACACAUGCAUAAACAGUCUAGCAGUUUCAAAGAGUCAAAAAUAAUUGAGCACAGUGAAAUUCAAUUAUCACUUUAAAUUGAAGAAAACUGAUUAAUUUGGCAUUAAUCUGUUUCGAGCAAGCUCUUAGCUAGGUAACUGUCCUUGAUCAUGACAUAUAAUAUAAAAAAAAAAACACAUGGUUAAUGAACAUUUACAAACAAUUCGGAAUGUUGCUGCUGGUUGCAACAAUUAAAUCAAAGGUUUUUCAUUUCAAUGACAGGGAAAUCUAUGGGACUAAUGUAUAAUUUUGAUAGUUUCGUUUUUGUGAGUAUGAAACUAUGAAGCACGGAUACAGACAUAGAUACAGAUACUAUUGACACGUCGACACUGUUAAUAAUUUGAGAUAAUCUCAUAAUUUAAUGUAAUUAUAUGUGUUGAUGUCAGACACGACACAUGUUCGACACCAAAAUACGUUUAAUCUAAGAAGUGUCCUUGCUUUAUAGAUAUUGGAAUCAUAGCAAGUGGGGUUAGUAGGAAUUGGUGUUUUGUCUUAGCUAGGCCGUUUUCUUAUGCGGCUCUCCCAAUGCCUAAUUUUACUGGUCGUGACUUAGAAAAUGUGGCAACUAGCUACAAAAAUCACUACUAAUUUGUUUCUAUGUUUUCAAUAAUAAGACAAAAUCAAAACCAUAAAAUAUUAGUAGCUGUCCAAACGUUCCCAUCUUCCAAUUUUUGAAUGACUAUAUUGUAAAACAAUAGGAAUUGGGGAUGCCUAGCCUAGUAAUCUCCUGUUUUUCUCAUAUCUUCCUUUUAACUGAAAUUCAAAGUUUGAUUUACUACAUUGCAAAAGACUGGUUCCUUUUGUUAGAUUCAAUUUUUUGUGCAUUUUUCAGUUUUUUUAGUAGAUAGACGAGAUGACAAAGUCAUUGUAAAUUCACACACUCAUAAGUGAAGGUGUUAGAGUUCGAAGUUCGAACUCUAAUCAUCACGUUCGGCCUAAUAAUUUUAACAUUUUUACUGGUUGAGUUAAAAGACAAAUAUUUGGUCAAAUUCUACUUAGAUUCAAUCUUUGUUGGCAUCUUCAAUUUUUUCUUGUUGGUAGAUAGACGAUAUGUCAAAAUCAUUAUAAAUUCACACACUCAUUAGUGAAGGUGUUAGAGUUCGAAGUUCAAACCCUGAUCAUCGCGUUCGGUCUAAUAAUUUUGACAUUUUUACCGGUUAAGCUAAAAGGAAAAUGUUUUAGUCAAAUUUCACUUAAAGACAAAUCAUUUAAGAGAAACCAAAUUUAAAUCAUAACUGAAACAAUCUUUAGUCAAGUUCCAGUUACUUAUGGGUUAAACUUCAUAUGAUCGGAGCACCAUUUUCUUAGAAACCUGAGGGUAAAAACCAAUCAACAUUAAUGACAAGAAAAUUUUAAGAGUCUUAUCAUAAGAAUAUGAUGAGAUGUACAUAAACAAAUGGAGUGCUGCUGCUUUAGAAAUGAAAUUAUGCAGCCACUAUAAGAGCACAAAUGUUGUUAGUGCUACAUGUAGUGCUUAUAUGGCAGCAUUGCCUAAACAUAGUCAGCUAAAUUCCGAAACAAAUAUUUGCGAUAAAAUCCCAUGUUUUUUGGGGAAUCAAACAUGGGUAACAUUAACCAAUCAUCAACUACUCCACUAUACCAAUCAAUGUGUACUUUAAUAAUUAUGUGUAUUUCUAACAAACAUUUCACAGACAGACAGGCACAACUCAUUAAGCACUAACAAGCAAAAUUAAUGACGAAUUAGGAGCUUAAUUUAGUGCUAAUUUUUAGGAACUUGCUUAUUGUACCGUUAUGUUCUAACCAAGAGUUAUUCUUGGGGUUUGAAAUAAUGCCAAUGGAAGAGAUUAUUAAUUUUUGUUUGUUUUUCCUUUUACCCUUACCUUCGGUAUAUGGUUUUGGCAAAACCCUAUUCACGUGAUCUUUAGCCUUGGCAUAGAAUAUGACAGUGUGUGUAUGGCUGUCACUUUUGGCAAAAUAAUUUCACCAAGAAAAAAUGAGUAAAAGAAGUUCAUAUCAUUGUUGAGAUAAUUUAGUGUAUAAUUAGAUUGACAUUGAAUUUGACGUAAUUUCAACAUGUGAUAGGAUCGUAAUUUUGUGAAAUUCGCCGUGAUUCUAAGACACACGGUAAAUUGAUCUUGAAAACUAAGCUCUAAAUAGGUGAGGCUUAGGGGUGAGUAAAAAAAAAACUGAACUGAACUGCUGUAUUAAACCAAAAAAAAAAAAAUAUAUAUCGAACCAUUACUAACAAUUCUGAAACUGAACUGAAACAAUUCGGUAAUUAAAAUUCAAUUUCGUUUGUUUUUUUUGUUUUAUUUUUAAUUUUUUUUCAACGAUAUCCAUAAUAACAUUUUGGUUCUGUUCAGAACAAUUCAGUUCGGUUUGAAACAAUAUAGUUUAGAUCAAAAUGCAAACAAUUCAGUUCAGUUAUUUUAAAUUUAGCAAACAGUUCACCUUACUUCGGUUCUUCAUCUCGAACCGAACCAUGCCCACCCUAUUGAGGCUAAUAUUUAGAUAUUAUUAUUCAAAUACAAUUUGCCAAUUUGGAACCGCAUAGCUUAGCUUAGCAAUGUAUUAGGUAUGAUAAGAAUCAUAAUGACCAGCAAAAAUCUAAAAUACUUUGGUGCUAGACUGCGAUCUAUUAUUAUAAUGAUUUGAUAUUUUUGUUCAUAAUCAAUUGUACAAAUUUUUUAUGGAAGAAAUAACACAGUUCUCUCUUUGUCAAGCAUAUGUGUAUUUACCUUUUAAUUUUCAAAUUUUUACAACUUAAACUGUAAAACCAUUCAAUUAAUUAGUAUGUUGAAUUUUCUUAUCACUAAAUUUGACAUUUCUUUUGGCACACGGAGAAAAAAUAUUAAGUAUUUUACCCCAAAAGGUAAAUCUAUAGCCAUCAUUUGUGUUGUACCCAUUGACAUAAUUCAAAAGUUUGGACCAUCAAUUGUUUAUCUAUUCAAGUCAUCUCCAUAGGAAUGAUCUUAUGACAAGAACAUAAUGCUAAUUUGUCAUGACAUUGGAAAGAAAGACACACACUUUUAUAGUCUCCGACCAAAAGUCCAUGUGGGUAUUGUUUGGGAUUUAAACUCUCCCCAUUACAUGUAAAAUUUGUCCCUCCAUGGUCACAAUUCACUUCCACCACGAAUCUAUUUCCAAACAUUAGUCAUGCUAUGAAUACACUCUUUAUCCCACAUAUUUUUAUGGAAUGUUUUUCAACAUACCAUCUUUUAUUAAUAGAAACGAAAUUCAUGAGAUCGACAAAUUUUAGCGUGACAUUUUUGAAUUUCAACCAAUGUAUUGUGAAUUAGGAUAAAUAAAUCACACCAAUAAAACUUAGAUGUGUGGAGCAAAGGAAAGUAAUAACCAAUAUUAAAGUAACAUCAAACAACAGCAACAAUAACAACAACAAUAAUCUAGGAAUCAAGUGAAAAACAUUAAACCACAAUCAAAAGAUAAAGAGAGAAGAGAAACAAACACACCAAAAAAUGUUUACCUAGCUCUCUCCAAAUUGACCUACUGUAGGGAGAGAUUGAUCUUUCAAAUCUACUAUAUCAAUGAGUUCUUUACAAAGAGAUAUACAAGGGUUACAAGAAACUAGCUUCAACAAGCUCACAAAGAACAAACCCUAAUUUCUAUCAUGUUCCCAAUCUCAUCAAUGGGCAAGACACUCAAUGAUUUUCACUCACCCGAAGUGUUUAAAAAUGUUUCCCAACUCAAGAGAACCCUAAUCAAAGACCAUCAACCCUAAAGUUACCUCCUUUUGUUGUGUAUGUCUUCAAAUUGCAAAGUUGGGAAGCAGAGAAAUCGUGACACGAUUUGGAAAGCGUGUCACGAUUUUGGUAAUGUCGAGAGCUGUUUUCAGGGCGUCCAAUCGUGACACAAUUUUUGGCUUGUUGGGCAAGAUUUUCAGGAUAAGGUUGGUCGUACGCAUCAAUCGUGACACGAUUUGGGAAAAACGUGACACGAUUUCGACGCUGAAGUCUGCUAUAUAAGUGUUCUUUGCAGUUUUUGAAGAGAGAGCUAGAAGAGAGAGAAACUUGGGAAAUCAAAGGAGGUAACUUUAGGGUUGAGGGUCUUUGAUUAGAGUUCUCUUGGGUUGGGAAACAUUGUAAACACCUUGGGUGAGUGAAAAUCAUUGAGUGUCUUGUUCAUUGGUGAGAUUGGGAAAAAAAGGUAGAAAUUAGGGUUGUUCUUUGUGAACUUGUUGAAGCUAAUUUCUUGUAACCCUUUUGUAUCUCUUCAUAAGAACUCAUUGAUAGUGGAUUGGAGAGAUCAAUCUCUCCUCCAGAGUAGGUCAAGUUUGGACCAAACUGGGUGAACAAUCUUUGGUGUGUUUGUUUCUCUCUUCUCUCCUUUUAUCUUUUGCUUGUGAUUUUGUGCUUUUUUUUCACUUUGAUUCCUAGAUUAGAUCUAGGUGUUGUUAUUGUUGAUUAUUGCUUGUGUUCACUUUGAUAUUGGUUACUACUUUCCUUUGCUCCACACAUCAUAGUUUGUAUUGGUGUGAUUUUGAGUCCGGAAUUCACAACACCUUUGAUUUCCCAAGUUUCUCACUCUUGAAGUCUCCUUUGAUUUCCCAAUAUUCUCUCUCUUAAGCCUCAUUCAAAACAUGAAGAAUGAAGCCUUUUACAGAGUUCAUAUCCCGAGAAAUCGUGCCCCAAUUUCAACUCGUACACUAUACUAUUCGAACCUUAUCUGUCAAAGUCGGACCCUAAUUUCGCCAAAUUGUGUCGCGAUUUUUGAUGGACUAAAAUUUCCAAAACUGACCCAAAAUCGUGCCCCCGUGACUCCAAAUCGUACCAGAAUUUUUGCCCAACCUUCAUUCAUCAAUUUUGAGACAAUUCUCAACACAAUGAAAUAGAAAAUAAAAAAUAAAUGUGUGUAAGAAAGUGUGUUGGUAACAUUUUCCAACUAAACAUUAUUCGUUGAAGGUUCAUAUAGUAUUGUGCUUAUUACAUCGUUAUACCCAAAAUGCAUUUUAAUUAGUGCCCUCCCCAUAUCCCCAAUUCAUUGUCUAAAAAAAACAUCAUAUCGUUUUUCUUUCACAUUGUUUCCCUUCGUUUUAAAAAAUUAUAAAAACCAAUGUUUACACUUAUUACAUGCUGUUACUGAGGAUAAAUAGUAACUCACUAAUAAAGCAAAAGAAGCACAAAAAGGCUAACAUAGUACACCAAACUUGUGAUAGAGAACAUAAACCUCGUAACAAGAAAUCCACAACUGGAACAACAAUAUUUUAAUCCAUAAUGGCCUCAAUGAAAUCAGCACCGACCAACUGAAGUAGGACACUGCAUGCAUAUGUAUAAUUAAGCCUAAUAGUAAUUACUACUGCAUAAUAACAUAGAAGAGAAGAAAUGCCAAAAUAAAAAAACGAAUGAAAGAAAAGAAAUGUCUCACUCUCACGUGCCAUGAAAAGAAUAGUAGUUGUAUGAUAUUAGCAAAAGGACCUCACGUGGAAGGGGAUCCAAGAACCUAAAUCAUAAAUUUAACUCUCACCAAUGACCAUUUUCCUCAUAUAUAUAUAUAUAUACAUACAUACACACACGUAGCAUAUAAAGUUAAUUUAGUGUGAUUGGUGUGUGACGGUCAAAGGUCAAAAGAAAGAUUAAUAUGAUGAGAUUAAAAGGACAAAGUGUGAGUCAGCGGGUGAGCCGCACGAGGGGAUCUAUCUGCAGAAGCCUCUGCAAUUC